Molecule: ribosomal RNA, 460 nt
Filed under: uncultured bacterium
Lineage: Bacteria
Description: partial 16S ribosomal RNA
Rfam family: Bacterial small subunit ribosomal RNA
Source: RNAcentral
CCUACGGGUGGCAGCAGUGAGGAAUAUUGGUCAAUGGGCGGAAGCCUGAACCAGCCAAGUAGCGUGCAGGAUGAAGGCCCUACGGGUCGUAAACCGCUUUUGCACGGGGAUAAAACGCUCCACGUGUGGAGGUCUGCAGGUACCGUGCGAAUAAGGGCCGGCUAAUUCCGUGCCAGCAGCCGCGGUAAUACGGAAGGUCCGAGCGUUAUCCGGAUUUAUUGGGUUUAAAGGGUGCGUAGACGGUUUGAUAAGUCAGUGGUGAAAUCUUGCGGCUCAACUUUGGAAUUGCAACUGAUACUGGCAGUCUAGAGAAUAGUUGAGGUAGGCGGAAUGCAUGGUGUAGCGGUGAAAUGCUUAGAGAUCAUAAAGAACACCGAUUGCGAAGGCAGCUUACUAAGCUACUUCUGACGUUGAUGCACGAAAGCGUGGGGAGCAAACAGGAUUAGAUACCCGAGUAGUC